CGGCUCGGCUCGGCUCGGCUCAACUUUGGGGCAGCAACCAGGGCUGCUUCGGCAGUCCAGCCCCGCCUCCCCUG
Molecule: microRNA precursor, 74 nt
Filed under: Notamacropus eugenii (tammar wallaby)
Lineage: Eukaryota; Metazoa; Chordata; Mammalia; Diprotodontia; Macropodidae
Description: miRNA (ENSMEUG00000017154.1)
Source: RNAcentral